This 927-nucleotide long non-coding RNA is filed under the name Rattus norvegicus (Norway rat). RNAcentral describes it as "long non-coding RNA NONRATT030716". Lineage: Eukaryota; Metazoa; Chordata; Mammalia; Rodentia; Muridae. The record is from RNAcentral.
AGGGGCUGGCAACGGGCAAUUGUGCAGCUCUGAAUGGAGGCUCCGCUUUAGAUACGACCGAACGUCAGCCCCCAGUGGCUGAAGACUCUAGCACUCUGAGUGCUCCAGCACACAAGUCUGAAACUCCCCUUGCACUGCCAGAACACUCUGGUGUGACAGAGGCCCUCCCUGCGGAAGAGCGUGAGGAGCCACAGGCUUGCCCUGGGGAAGACACUAAGGAGUCACAGCCCUGCUCUACCACAGAACUAAAGCCCCCAGUGCCACAUAGAGCUGAGCCAGAGCCGCCAGCACCUUGCCUUCCAGCACUGGCAGGACCCCCUCUGCCUAGUUGUCGGGGACAGGCUGAGCCCCCUGAGGCUCGCCCUGGGAUACAGCUGGGAGCAUCGGCAGCCAGCGCUCUGCAAGCUGGAAACCCAGAGUCUAGCCCAGAGCCCUGUUGCAGUCAGGGGCCUCCAGCAGCCACCAGCCUGACCUCGACACAAAGCCCAGUGUGUGCCAGCUUCCCUAUCCACUCACUGCACUCUUCGAGAUCCCCGACAGGCCGCUCAGGCCCCAGCAGUGUGGCCCCUCGAACCCUGGCCCUGAGGCAGCGCCUCAGAGCUUGUCUCACCACCAUCCACUGUUUCCACGAGGCUCGCCUGGAUGACGAAUGUGCCUUCUACACCAGUCGAGCCCUGCCCCCAGGGCCUACCAGGGUCUGCACCAAUCCUGUUGCUACAAUGCUUGAAUGGCAAGAUGCCCUGCGUUUCAUUCCAGUUGGCCCUGUGGCCCCACAGGACUCUCCGUCGUGACUCUGGCCUUUUCUGGGCUUCUGCCCUGCUGUACUCACCCCUUCCUUUAGCCUUAUUUAUUGUCGACCUGCCCAUUGGACUGGGAGCCAACGCCCUUUUAUCCUUUAUAAUAAAGUUUCUAUAAAUUGUGUUUGAA